RNAcentral lists this ribosomal RNA (594 nucleotides) under uncultured bacterium. RNAcentral's name for it is "bacterial SSU rRNA". The stretch from base 1 to 519 matches the Rfam family "Bacterial small subunit ribosomal RNA", at positions 338 to 873 of the family's 1533-position model. The record is from RNAcentral.
CCUACGGGAGGCAGCAGUGGGGAAUCUUGCGCAAUGGGCGAAAGCCUGACGCAGCAACGCCGCGUGCGGGAAGAAGGCUUUCGGGCUGUAAACCGCUUUCAGCAGGAACGAAAAUGACGGUACCUGCAGAAGAAGGAGCGGCCAACUAUGUGCCAGCAGCCGCGGUGAUACAUAGGCUUCAAGCGUUGUCCGGAUUUAUUGGGCGUAAAGAGUUCGUAGGCGGUCGAGUAAGUCGGGUGUGAAAAUUCUGGGCUCAACCCAGAGACGCCACCCGAUACUGCUUGACUUGAGUUCGAUAGGGGAGUGGGGAAUUCCUAGUGUAGCGGUGAAAUGCGCAGAUAUUAGGAGGAACACCGGUGGCGAAGGCGCCACUCUGGAUCGAUACUGACGCUGAGGAACGAAAGCAUGGGUAGCAAACAGGAUUAGAUACCCUGGUAGUCCAUGCCGUAAACGGUGGGCACUAGGUGUGGGUUUCUAUUAACGAAAUCCGCGCCGUCGCUAACGCAUUAAGUGCCCGCUGGAGUACGUCGCGAGACGAAACUACAANAGUAAGUAGUAGCGUUGAGAGUUGCCGAGGCGACGACGAGGGAGAGG